AGGCUUACACUGCAAGUCGAGCGGAGUAGCAAUACAUCAGCGGCAGACGGGUGAGUAACACGUGGGAACGUACCUUUUGGUUCGGAACAACACAGGGAAACUUGUGCUAAUACCGGAUAAGCCCUUACGGGGAAAGAUUAUCGCCGAAAGAUCGGCCCGCGUCUGAUUAGCUAGUUGGUGAGGUAACGGCUCACCAAGGCGACGAUCAGUAGCUGGUCUGAGAGGAUGAUCAGCCACAUUGGGACUGAGACACGGCCCAAACUCCUACGGGAGGCAGCAGUGGGGAAUAUUGGACAAUGGGCGCAAGCCUGAUCCAGCCAUGCCGCGUGAGUGAUGAAGGCCCUAGGGUUGUAAAGCUCUUUUGUGCGGGAAGAUAAUGACGGUACCGCAAGAAUAAGCCCCGGCUAACUUCGUGCCAGCAGCCGCGGUAAUACGAAGGGGGCUAGCGUUGCUCGGAAUCACUGGGCGUAAAGGGUGCGUANGCGGGUCUUUAAGUCAGGGGUGAAAUCCUGGAGCUCAACUCCAGAACUGCCUUUGAUACUGAAGAUCUUGAGUUCGGGAGAGGUGAGUGGAACUGCGAGUGUANAGGUGAAAUUCGUAGAUAUUCGCAAGAACACCAGUGGCGAAGGCGGCUCCUGGGCCCGAUACUGACCCUGAGGCACGAAAACCUGGGGAGCAAACGAGAAUAAGAUACCCUGGUAUCCCCGCCGGUAACCAUGAAUGUCGGCCGUUAAGGGGGGUUACCCACCAGUGGCUGCACUAAAGCUUUGAGGAUUCCCCCUUGGGGAGUACGGUCCCCAGAUUUAGACUCCAGGAAUUUGGCGGGGGCCCGUUAAUCAGGGGGCCCUGUGGCUAAAUUCCCACCCACCGCCCAAA
RNAcentral lists this ribosomal RNA (876 nucleotides) under Bradyrhizobiaceae bacterium enrichment culture clone CTBE CDB1001A02. Its description in RNAcentral is "bacterial SSU rRNA". It matches the Rfam family "Bacterial small subunit ribosomal RNA", at positions 44 to 968 of the family's 1533-position model. The record is from RNAcentral. Lineage: Bacteria; Pseudomonadati; Pseudomonadota; Alphaproteobacteria; Hyphomicrobiales; Nitrobacteraceae.